Non-coding RNA from Heterocephalus glaber (naked mole-rat), 2409 nucleotides. Lineage: Eukaryota; Metazoa; Chordata; Mammalia; Rodentia; Bathyergidae. The record is from RefSeq and is a predicted model, not a curated record.
UCUGUUUUUCUUUGUCCACACCCAGAAUCAUUAGCAUAUGGAAUAAAUAGCAGUUAGACUGUCAGUGCUAUAGACUAUCACAGAAAGGUUGUGCUGGUUGGUGUCCUGUUUUCUUAAUUUAAGCCAGUUUAUGGACUUUUAGUAUUCCUAAGGAAUUCGGGUGUGAUGAGUCUGGUAGGGAAGGGAUCCAAAGGAAUACUGAUGAGGACCGUCUUGAAGAGGUGACGUUUGUCUAGGGGCCAAGACGGACAGAGGGAAUAAGCCAUAGCGACGUCUGCAGGGAUCUUCUGGAAGAAGGUGGCAAGGAGCAAGCAGAGGGGGGUUGCUGCGGAACUGGAUCUUGCUGGAAUGCAGACUGCUCCAUAGUGUAAUAAGAUGACAGUCAUCUUGGCAUGCAAAGCCCCAACACAAACCUUAGGGAUGGAAGAGCUCCUGAAAUGAAGAGACCCAAGGUGAGUGAAGCCCACUCAGAGCUGCAGUUGAAUGUGACCAUAUCUAUACCGAGUUCCAGCGGAGUGAAUCCAGAACAAACAAGCCCAGCCCUCCUACAUGUGGCAUUGAUCCCUUGGAUACACUCAUAAAACAAGAGUGAGCAGAUUUUGUGAACAUUGCUGCAGGGGACUUGUGAAGAAACAGGAUCAGCACCUGAGCUUUCCUGUGACCUUUGAAUGGUAGUGACAGUUUGUUUUUCUUCUGCAGGUGAUGGCCUGAGGCCAGCUGGAAUCUCUGACAAUGGAUGUUCUCCAGCUGGGAGCCUGGUUCAUCCUGAGCAGGGUCAAUGAGUGUUUUUGGGCAAUCAUUUUCUCCAGGUCACUGUGGUCACUGGGGUGUGGGUGGCAGAGUGUUUCAUCCUGAACUGGGUCUGGAACCAUAGUGAGGGGAAGAACACCCUAUGUCAGUGCCAGUGGGCAGGAAACAGAGGGCAAAACCAGGUGGGUGGAACAAGGAGGCAGGGUCACCGGGUGCACAAGAGGAGAAGCAAGUGCCACUUGUUAAAGGUCAGUGAUGUGCCACGCACUGUGCCAGGGGCUCCUUUGACAGAUGAGGAAACUGAGUCUCAGAGGCUCCACAGCUCACCACAGGGCACACAGCCAGGACAUGGUGGCACCAGGAUACACAAUCAUACAGCAAACUCAAGUUGCUUUUACUGUGUGACGCUAAGUAUUGGACCAGAAUAUGACCAUACUAUGGCUUGGAUAUUGUGCUGGAAAAAUAGUAUUUUUGUUUUGUUCUGAAAAAUAGUUUUUUUGAGCAUGAGGUCGAUUGUGCCUUUAGCUUUUCUGAAACCGUGGAAAUAAUUUACCUUCCCUGGAUGUGUACUCAAUACACGUAUAUGGAGACAACAGUCCCUUUGCUUGGCAGAGUAACUAAUAAGCAAUGGGAAAGUUCUUUGCUCUUCUAGAGUGCUAUUAUAAUAAUCAUAUCUGAAUAAUAGUAUGGUACCUAUUUUUUAAAAUGACCAUUAGUAAUACCAUGUUGACGUAUUGUUAGAAGGCUAGUCUUCUAUCUCAGGUGUUUUUAUACAAAAUGUAAAUAUCUUAUGUGAAUACGGGAUUUGGGAUACAGUUAUGCUACUGUUGAUCAUCAGUUUAUAUAGUUUUACUUUUUCCUCAUAAAUUAAAAUUGCUCAUUAAGAGUUUUGUAUGAGCCGAAAUUGUGGAGUAAAAUCAUAUACAGCAGUGGGAGCUCCCAUGGAUCACCGGUGGGAAAAACAUGUGCUGAAACCCUUGUGGAGAGCAAUCCAGCAGGGGAAGAACAUAAAAGGUGAGACUGCGCAUGCGCGCGAUUCCCUCUGACCAGGAGGAGCUGACCUGGGAACGCGCGAGGGGCAGGCACGGGAAUGUCGAGGGCGGAUGAUUUGAGACAGUAAAAGAAAGAAGCCGUUUGAAGACCCAGCGACAGGGUAAUGGUUAAGUAAGUUGAGAUUAAAGGCGUUCAGUGGGAUAUUAUGCCAAAGUUAAAAUAAAUGAAUUGGAGCUCUAAGUGCCAGCAAGGUAAUACCAUCAAGGGAUAAUGCUGAAUUAAAAGCAAAUUACAGAGCCUAGCUCAGGCAACUUAGAGACUUAGGAAGACCUUACCUCAAAACGAACGAACAAACAAACUACCGAAAAACCCAACCCUCACAAAAAAAGCAAAUUGCAGAAAGUUGGAUGCAGAAUGCAACCUGCAAAUAAUAGCAUAUAUUAGCCGCGAACAUGUUCACCUUAGAGUAGCAUCAAUCGGCCUUGGCGCAGUGAAUACCUCAACUUGGAGUUCGGGUGGAUGCUGCCUCUGCGAGUGACGGAAUGAGAAUGGGUCCUCUGAAGAGCAACUCAAUUCAGCCACGCCGGGGGUCAUUUAUUUCUCACACGAGGGCUGGAGCGUGAAUGGUCAACGAUGAGACUUGACAAAGAUGAGAUUUGACAAAGU